AGGUAAGCUACUAAGAGCGAAUGGUGGAUGCCUUGACUGGUAAAGGCGAUGAAGGACGUACUAGACUGCGAUAAGCUACGGGGAGCUGUCAAGAAGCUUUGAUCCGUAGAUUUCCGAAUGGGGCAACCCAAUGUAUAGAGAUAUACAUUACCUAUAUAGGAGCGAACGAGGGGAAUUGAAACAUCUUAGUACCCUCAGGAAAAGAAAUCAAUAGAGAUUGCGUCAGUAGCGGCGAGCGAAAGCGCAAGAGGGCAAACCCAGUGCUUGCACUGGGGGUUGUAGGACUGCAAUGUGCAAGAGGUAAGUUUAGCAGAACAUUCUGGAAAGUAUAACCAUAGAGGGUGAUAGUCCCGUAUGCGAAAAACAAACCUUAGCUAGCAGUAUCCUGAGUAGGGCGGGACACGAGGAAUCCUGUCUGAAUCCGGGUCGACCACGAUCCAACCCUAAAUACUAAUACCAGAUCGAUAGUGCACAAGUACCGUGAGGGAAAGGUGAAAAGAACUGAGGUGAUCAGAGUGAAAUAGAACCUGAAACCAUUUGCUUACAAUCAUUCAGAGCCCUAUGUAGCAAUACAGGGUGAUGGACUGCCUUUUGCAUAAUGAGCCUGCGAGUUGUGGUGUCUGGCAAGGUUAAGCAAACGCGAAGCCGUAGCGAAAGCGAGUCUGAAUAGGGCGCUUAGUCAGAUGCUGCAGACCCGAAACGAAGUGAUCUAUCCAUGAGCAAGUUGAAGCUAGUGUAAGAACUAGUGGAGGACUGAACCCAUAGGCGUUGAAAAGCCCCGGGAUGACUUGUGGAUAGGGGUGAAAGGCCAAUCAAACUUCGUGAUAGCUGGUUCUCUCCGAAAUAUAUUUAGGUAUAGCGUUGUGUCGUAAUAUAAGGGGGUAGAGCACUGAAUGGGCUAGGGCAUACACCAAUGUACCAAACCCUAUCAAACUCCGAAUACCUUAUAUGUAAUCACAGCAGUCAGGCGGCGAGUGAUAAAAUCCGUCGUCAAGAGGGAAACAACCCAGACUACCAGCUAAGGUCCCUAAAUCUUACUUAAGUGGAAAACGAUGUGAAGUUACUUAAACAACCAGGAGGUUGGCUUAGAAGCAGCCAUCCUUUAAAGAAAGCGUAAUAGCUCACUGGUCUAGUGAUUUUGCGCGGAAAAUAUAACGGGGCUAAAGUAAGUACCGAAGCUGUAGACUUAGUUUACUAAGUGGUAGGAGAGCGUUCUAUUUGCGUCGAAGGUAUACCGGUAAGGAGUGCUGGAGCGAAUAGAAGUGAGCAUGCAGGCAUGAGUAGCGAUAAUUAAUGUGAGAAUCAUUAACGCCGUAAACCCAAGGUUUCCUACGCAAUGCUCGUCAUCGUAGGGUUAGUCGGGUCCUAAGUCGAGUCCGAAAGGGGUAGACGAUGGCAAAUUGGUUAAUAUUCCAAUACCAACAUUAGUGUGCGAUGGAAGGACGCUUAGGGCUAAGGGGGCUAGCGGAUGGAAGUGCUAGUCUAAGGUCGUAGGAGGUUAUACAGGCAAAUCCGUAUAACAAUACUCCGAGAACUGAAAGGCUUUUUGAAGUCUUCGGAUGGAUAGAAGAACCCCUGAUGCCGUCGAGCCAAGAAAAGUUUCUAAGUUUAGCUAAUGUUGCCCGUACCGUAAACCGACACAGGUGGGUGGGAUGAGUAUUCUAAGGCGCGUGGAAGAACUCUCUUUAAGGAACUCUGCAAAAUAGCACCGUAUCUUCGGUAUAAGGUGUGGUUAGCUUUGUAUUAGGAUUUACUCCGAAAGCAAGGAAACUUACAACAAAGAGUCCCUCCCGACUGUUUACCAAAAACACAGCACUCUGCUAACUCGUAAGAGGAUGUAUAGGGUGUGACGCCUGCCCGGUGCUCGAAGGUUAAUUGAUGGGGUUAGCAUUAGCGAAGCUCUUGAUCGAAGCCCGAGUAAACGGCGGCCGUAACUAUAACGGUCCUAAGGUAGCGAAAUUCCUUGUCGGUUAAAUACCGACCUGCAUGAAUGGCGUAACGAGAUGGGAGCUGUCUCAAAGAGGGAUCCAGUGAAAUUGUAGUGGAGGUGAAAAUUCCUCCUACCCGCGGCAAGACGGAAAGACCCCGUGGACCUUUACUACAGCUUGACACUGCUACUUGGAUAAGAAUGUGCAGGAUAGGUGGGAGGCUUUGAGUAUAUG
This 2162-nucleotide ribosomal RNA is filed under the name Campylobacter jejuni. RNAcentral's name for it is "partial 23S ribosomal RNA". It matches the Rfam family "Bacterial large subunit ribosomal RNA", at positions 1 to 2167 of the family's 2925-position model. The record is from RNAcentral. Lineage: Bacteria; Pseudomonadati; Campylobacterota; Epsilonproteobacteria; Campylobacterales; Campylobacteraceae.